CAUGAAGAGGAUAGCUUCUCUUCAGUUUUGGGGGCUGAGGCUUAAGAAGGACAUUGGAACAAUGGUAUUCCAAAUAGAUAGCUUUGUGUUACACUCUAGUCCAAGCACAGCAGUAAAAUUAUUCAUAGCAAUAGCAGGAGUUCAUUGAAUAGCUUCGAGCAUACAAACUAAGACCUUUGACAUAUUUCUUCAAUUCUUGCUAGGAUUGUGACAGGUUUAAUUUUGGAGAUUAAAACCACCCUCUUUGGUUAGUGGUCCUAGGCAACGAUUUUGGAGACAUUUCCAUUCUCUCCAGUCAGUCUGAUGUGUUUCAGCAGUUAAAAAUCAAGAGGUGAAGGAUACUACAUGGAUUGCUUGGUUCAUACGUAAAACAUGUCGCUGCUUCGACAAGUUUGGAGGAGCCUCUACUUUGGGUUCCCAUACUGGCCAGAUUAAGUAGUACGGGGGCAUCUUUGCAAAAGGAAGAUUCAACUGGUGAUUUGAAAAAUAAUCAGGGUUAUAUGGUGUUUCUAUGUUAAUAACUUGUAUUCAUAAAUCUCUCUCUCUCUCUCUCUCAAUGUGCAAUUUGUACAUGAAUAUCUACAUUUACUUCUUUAAUGUGUUUGUAGAGUAGUCAUUGUUUAUAUGUGCAUGCAUACAAUGUACUUAGGUACUAAGAUAUCUUAACUAUCUCAGCCAUAAGGGUCAUGAUAUGCUUGCACCUUUCACAGCUGGGUGGUGGUGUACUGAUUUGAAUCCUUUGGUUAUAGAAAGGUCUGAGGUAUUGU
Quercus lobata is the source of this 767-nucleotide long non-coding RNA. RefSeq lists it as uncharacterized. Lineage: Eukaryota; Viridiplantae; Streptophyta; Magnoliopsida; Fagales; Fagaceae. The record is from RefSeq and is a predicted model, not a curated record. The transcript is spliced from 3 exons.